Molecule: long non-coding RNA, 799 nt
Filed under: Olea europaea subsp. europaea
Lineage: Eukaryota; Viridiplantae; Streptophyta; Magnoliopsida; Lamiales; Oleaceae
Source: RNAcentral
UUGGAAUCCGAGUCUCAAAUUUGGCACCCACACGCAGUAACUUACACCUAAAAUUGAAUAAUUGGUUGUGUAGUUGAUGCAAUUGAAAGUUUACCAACAGAUGUUUGUGUCUCAAUUUGAAAUCUCCUAGGUAAAUUGGAUGAUUGUGAAAUAUUCCUCGCAAUGCAUACGGUUUGUGGCCAUUGUUAUCAAAAAAUAAGAUCAAUUGGGAGUCAUUACCCAUCAUCGAUUGGCACUGUUGGAAGUUCAAUUGAGGCCAAUUUAGGUCGUCGGUGCUUUGGACUAUAGGAAUUGAUAGAGGCAGAUUUGGUUCUUUGCAUGUUGUGAUUGCAAAAAAAUUAUGAGGCACAACAGGUCAAUUGAAGAUUGUUUUGGUCGAAGUUUGACCAUGGUUUAAGUCGUCCUGAUGAGGGGAACCUGUUGGUGGUAGGUCAUGACCGUAAAAGUCGUCGAAGGUCAUGGUGCCACCGGGUUUAGUGGUUUUCAAGUUGGAUGAUUUGGUUGCCAAUUGCAGUCAGAUUUGGUGGGUUUUGGGCGAGAAGUUUGGUGCAUUGUGACAGCAGGAUAGAAGGCUAUAUGGUGGUGUUAGUUUUCGUGGCUAAGGUGGCGAUGGGUGGUGUUUUCGGUGAAUGAAAGUGGCGGCGGAAGCCAAAGUUAGAAAGAAAGUGAUUUAUGUUUUUUUCUUUUUAUUUUUAUUUUUUAAUUAUUUAUUUGAGAUUUAUUGGUACUUUUUUGAAAUGUUUGGGACUUUGGUUUCAUUUUGUUCUUUAUUUUUCUUUUUAUUUUAUAUAAAUAUGAG